AAGCCACAGCCUGAAGCUCAGGCUGCUGACUUGAGCACAGAUGGGAGAAUGUUAACAGCCAAGAAAUAUGAGGUCUUUGGCUCCUUUCCCAGAACUGCCAGGCUAAGACCUUGGCAGAGAUUCAACAGGAAACUGAACUCUAUUUGCAUAUCCUUUUAUACAUGGGAGAUUAAAAGCUUCAACCUUGAGUGAUCACAGUUUUUGAGAAUCACAAUGAGGCAUUAAGGAGGAGGAGUGUCCCAAGGGAGAUGAGCUGGAGUUGAAUCAAGUACCAUAGUAAGAACUAAUCCCAUGUAGACAGCAUGGGCAGAAUGAGGAUGGACAAAUGCCAUGCCUCACAGACAUCUGACUGAUUCCUGGAAGACAAAAUUAAGGUAAAAGGAAGAUAGAAGAACUGAGGAGCCCUAUCGGUUGGUAUCAAGAAACUGAAGUAUCAGGUGGGAUUACAGAGCCACCUUCUAUUUAGUCUUUCCACCAACUCUCCCAGAGUAAUUCUCUCAGGGGAGUCCUUUUUCGUUCACCCAGCGAUUGGGCAAACAUCCCCUGACUUCUAUGGUGUGUUCAGGGCUGGGGCUGGGAUCUGUGAGGGUGACAAGAUUUCAGGCUCUCUGGGCUUCACCUGGCCCAGGAGCUGCGGGGCCUGCUCUUCUGACGCUCUAAGGCUGCUCCUACCUGUACAGUCAGGAGGUAGGAGUGAGCAGACCCACUACUGGCUCUGGCCUGUACUGAACGGGCUCUGCUUCUGGGACAGGCUCCUGGCCCUUUCUCCUCAUCUCAGCCUUUAGUGUCUCAGGGACUUGCCUGUGGGCUUGCCAGCUGAUGAUGAGGAAAGAAAAUGAACUUGGAUCAGCAGAUGUUCUGCCCCCAGAGAAUAGCUUCACCUGUUAUACAGAUGGUAUGGGGCCCUUUUUCCUUCUGCUGCCACAUGGCAGCGUCUCCCUUCUAGAUUGAGUCAAAUUUUUAGCAAGGGAAUUGUUGAUAUUUAGCUUCAGACAGCUUUUUAAUGGUUCUUUACCCUGUUUUUGGAAGUUCUUUUUAUUAUUUGUUGCAAAUAGAUUCAUUCCAGAUCUUUAUUUUUGUAACAAGAGAGCCGCUUCUUGGGAAGGGAGAUAGACUUUGCCAAAAUACCACUCUUCCACAGGACAAGAGCCCAUAACUGUCACACAGAAUUUAACAGAAAAUAUUGCAUUGAUGUAAUUCUGAGUAGCAGUUAAGUGCCUGCUAUUAUACUCUGCCUGUAUUAAGCACCCCAUAAAUGUUGAUGCUGGACUGAAGAAAACACAGCUCAAAAUAAACACAAUUGGAAGACAAAGGAAGUGGAAUGGGCAAUGCUAAUUAGAUGAGAAAAAGCAAAGUUAAAGCAUGGAAAAAGUUAAUAGCAUAUUAUAGAAUUAUCUACUGAAAGAACAAAGUAGAACAAACUAAAAAUAAAAAGGAAACUACAUCAGCUUAGAUCAGAGGAAUGUGCAGGCAGAGAAAAGCUGGAGAGGUAAUUAGGAUAAUUAUCUCCAUGGAGUGGUUCUCAAUCUUGGCCACAUAUUGGGAUCACCUGGGGAGUUUUAAAAAUUACUGAAGCCUGCAUGCUACCCCAAGAGAGUCUGAUUUAUUCUGGGGUGGGGUCUGGGCAUCAGAAUUUUAAAAAAGCUCCCUAGGUAAUUCUGAUAUGCAGGUGAGUUGAUGACCACUGGUAAGAGAUCACGUAGUGCACAAGGCUUAUGAUAGUAUUGUCCUCAGCAGACAAGACAAAGCCUGUGGCCAGGUGUCACCUGUGACUGGGUGAGUCUACCAGCCUUCUGCACCUUAUCCUUUCUCUAGGACCAGCAUGGACCCUCAGUGGCUCUCCUCCCUGGUGACUGUUCACACUGGUCUCUUACAAACCAGAGGAUAUGAGAGCCUGCUUUGGUCAGCAUGAGCCAUCUCCUUGCUCCCCUGAGCUCCUGCAAGUGCUGGGCACUUACUGAGUGCUUGGUAAAUAUUUGCUUGGUGUUAUGGUCCUUGUCCCUCUGGGGUCCUUCUGUACUGAUUGAAAUGGGCUAAGUCUGUGGUUCUUGGUUCCCCCUCUUAAUCCUACACUGACUUUCAA
Long non-coding RNA from Phyllostomus discolor (pale spear-nosed bat), 2083 nucleotides. RefSeq lists it as uncharacterized. The transcript is spliced from 3 exons. Lineage: Eukaryota; Metazoa; Chordata; Mammalia; Chiroptera; Phyllostomidae. The record is from RefSeq and is a predicted model, not a curated record.